AGCCAAGUAGCGUGCAGGACGACGGCCCUACGGGUUGUAAACUGCUUUUGCGCGGGGAUAAAGUGGGGGACGUGUCCCUCAUUGCAGGUACCGCGCGAAUAAGGACCGGCUAAUUCCGUGCCAGCAGCCGCGGUAAUACGGAAGGUCCGGGCGUUAUCCGGAUUUAUUGGGUUUAAAGGGAGCGCAGGCGGUUGGGAAAGCGUGCCGUCAAAUGUCGGGGCUCAACCCCGGAAAGCGGCGCGAACUGUCCGACUUGAGUACGCGGAAGGCAGGCGGAAUUCGUGGUGUAGCGGUGAAAUGCAUAGAUAUCACGAAGAACUCCGAUUGCGAAGGCAGCCUGCCGCAGCGCAACUGACGCUGAGGCUCGAAAGCGCGGGUAUCGAACAGGAUUAGAUACCCUGGUAGUCCGCGCGGUAAACGAUGGACGCCCGCCGUGGGGUAGAUAUAUUCCGCGGCCAAGCGAAAGCGUUAAGCGUCCCACCUGGGGAGUACGCCGGCAACGGUGAAACUCAAAGGAAUUGACGGGGGCCCGCACAAGCGGAGGAACAUGUGGUUUAAUUCGAUGAUACGCGAGGAACCUUACCCGGGCUUGAACUGCAGACGACGGCGCCGGAGACGGCGCUUCCCUUCGGGGCGUCUGCGGAGGUGCUGCAUGGUUGUCGUCAGCUCGUGCCGUGAGGUGUCGGCUCAAGUGCCAUAACGAGCGCAACCCCCGCCCGCAGUUGCCAUCGGGUAAAGCCGGGGACUCUGCGGGGACUGCCGCCGCAAGGUGCGAGGAAGGCGGGGAUGACGUCAAAUCAGCACGGCCCUUACGUCCGGGGCUACACACGUGUUACAAUGGGGCAUACAGAGAGUAGCGCAUGCGCAAGCCUGCGCGGAUCAGAAAAG
RNAcentral lists this ribosomal RNA (888 nucleotides) under human gut metagenome. RNAcentral describes it as "bacterial SSU rRNA". It matches the Rfam family "Bacterial small subunit ribosomal RNA", at positions 390 to 1281 of the family's 1533-position model. The record is from RNAcentral.